UAGCACGAUAAAAAGUUCAGACCCCUUUCCCUCCUAUGCAAAUGCCUUGACAUUCGCUUUAUAUCAGAUGGAAUUUUCUUUUCUCUUGUUAUUCAGACCAAGAAGAUGAGCUCUCUUUUUCAUGUAGUUCACUUUUUUUAUACUGCAGUCUCCAGAUAUUGUUGUCAACAGUGAACAGAUGAAGCCUCCCUGCAACAUAAUGAUAUAUCACAACGGCAUCAUGGUCUACAUUAGGGUUUAAAAAAAUCACCAACUGAUAAAUAUUGCUUUUGAUAGCUCAGAUCAUAGGCUUGAUCUAUGUCUUAGUCCUGCAGAGAUGUAGCUAUUUUACAGUUACAUCUUCUUAAGCCAAACAAACUGGAAGAAAGGUGUUUUAAAAAGCAUAUUCUGUUAUUGUGGAAUUCUUUCACUAACCAAAAUAAAUUUCUCUUCAGCACCUCAGGACCUCAAUGACUUCUUGAAACUGAGUAGUCCUAGCAUAAAGUGGAGAAUAAAUACAAGAAUGGAAGAACAAACUAAUCAAAACCUUGCUCUGGAAUUAACUUGAAAAAAUGUAUGAUGAUGUGACUAGAUUUAUGCCUCCUUAGAAGUCUUAGAAGUCAAGAAGACUUGAAUAGAAAUGCCUACUUAGAAAUAUGUAAAUGAAAGGACAGACAAUCAGCAGGAAGACUUAUUUCUCACAGUAACAGGUUCUAAAGUACUGAUUGUACAAACUCAUUGCAAUUAAUUUAUUCAAUUCAGUAAGGAAGCUGCAUUAUGCUCCUACUCUCCAUAGCUUCUAUCUGUUGUCAGCCGUGGGGCAGCCACAGGCUAAUUGAGAUUACAUUAGGGCUGAAGUAACCCAUCUAUAGUGAAUAUUUAUUUCUGAAAACUUGGUUCCUAACUCAUAAUCUCUUUUAAGAGACUGUUGGCUGGUAGAGAAGGUCAUGACUGCUGUAUUUAAUAGCUCUUAGUCAUCUUUGGCAGUAAGAAUUAUGUAUAUAAUAUAACAUUUCAUAUGUAUAUGAAGCCGAUCCGAUAUACUUUUUGAAAAAAAACGUGAACAAAUUAAUUUUGUGAAAAUAUUGGACUAGUAGAACAGAGGAGUAAUCUUGGAACACAUCUACCACCUAGUAGACAAAAUCAAUACAAAUCCCAGACCCCUGCAAAUUCAAAAUUAACUUUGAAAAAGGUAAAGAAUUUGUACAGUAAUGAGCCAUGGGAAAAUAGAAAGAAUUCUUGUCUUGUAAGAGAAAUUGGGAACUUACUGAGGGUUAAAUAGAAAGAAUUCUUGUCUUGUAAGAGAAAUUGAGAACUUACUGAGGGUUCAGGACUCACAGUUAACUGCAGAAUAAAGAAUGCUACAGAGUCCAGAAUAACAAGGAGAAUUUUGUCAAGGUAUGUUAAUAUUUCUUGUUAAGGAUUAUUGCUGCAAAGCUUUGUCCCAGAAGGCUGCUUUGGUAUUAGAAAUCUUGCCUUUGAGUUACACAGGGAAAAAAAUUCAUCAGAGUAAAGUAUUUUGUUGUUCAGAAACUGUGGAAAGUGUCAACUGAUAAUGAAAAUCUUUUAUAAUGCCUAGGAUUCAGAAUGAUAACUGAACAGGAUGUAUACUUGUUCAGAUGCAUAUGGAACAAUUCCAAUAAAUGAAAUAGAUCCACUCAUAUAGAAUAAGUAUAAACUUCAUUCUUGGUUAAAUCUAAACCUAGGAAGAUAAAACAAGAAUAGAUGAGCAUGCAUGAAACUGAAUAAUAGGAAGUGAAACACAGCAAUCCUGAAUCUGAAGAAAAAAAAUACUUUAUUUAAGGUGUGUUUUUUUACAAUCCCACAUUUGAUCAACAAAGUGUUUGAAUGAAGAACUUUACGGAGAUGACUUAUAAUUCUAUUCAAUGGAUGAUUUAAAGCACCUACAUCUCAAGAAGCAGAAGAAAUGUGUUUAACUGUGGGGGCAGAGUGGGGGAAAUCCUCCUAUCACCAUGGUAGCAAGUGGUCUUUGUCAGUGCUUGUGCUUAUGUUUUGCAUAAGAGAAUAUGGUCAUUUAGACUGCAGAACUGUAGUGUCAUUUUAAAAAGGCACUGGGACCAGACAUAAUGCACUGUUCUAUGAAUUCUGAAAGUGCAAUUGAAAGCAGACCAGUGAUGACAGCAAGGUCUUAACUUGCUUACACUGAGGGCCAUGAACAUCAAAUUUUUCAGCCAAGGGUGAAAUAGCAUCCUCAUAAUUAACCGAUCUUAGAAACUACAACAUGCCAACUGCACCUAGUAUCCCCAAGAAAUUUUAGAAUGGCAAGUUUCCCAUAAAAAUCAUCUUUUUUUUUAAGAUCACAAAAAUGCACAGCACUUGAGGGAACAACGUAGACAUAGUAGAAUGAUGAGGUGAAACUUUCAGAAACGUGAUGGAGAAGUACGGCUAAGAUAUAUCAGGUUGUAGUACCUGAUGUAUAUAGAAGCUCAACCCAAAAUUCACCACCUGUAUUUCAGAAAAUAUUGUGUCAUGAGGCCAAAGCAUCAACUACAAAAUAAAAUUAAUAAAUCUUGAAAGGUAAAGACCAUUUGUAUGGUGCAACAUUGAAGUCUAGUUAUGGUCAAUCUAAUCUAUUAAUGCAGUUAUUUACAUGAAUACAGAAUCAAUGACAUUACUAGAACCAGAGUACAGUAAAGGCACAGGUUAUAAUGACACUGAAUGAAUUUUAUGUGAAGGUAAAAUACCAGAAUAAAGUCUUAUCUUGCAGACCACAGCUGUCACCACAAAUUUUAAAAACAAAAUCUGAUUGUGAGUGUGGUAGAUGGGUGCAUAAAUUUCACAGUUUUAUUAGAACAAAAAAUGAAGAAGUCUUUCCUCUCCUAGUCAUUGCCUCAUUCUGCCAUACAAGAGAAGCAGUAGUAAAAAUAGAUCCUCCAGUUUCAGUGGUUAGAUAUCUUCCUCUAUCUGUUUCACUCUUAAUAAUUCUUGAAGACUAGGUGAUGACAUCUGACUAAAAUAGUUUCUUUUAGGUGGAAUUAUAUCAACCUUCCAUAAACAGAUUUUUAUUUUUUUUCUGUAUCUUUUCUGGGUGUAUCUUACCUGACUUAAAACAAUUGCCUUUUUUCAUAGCCAUGUGUUUUUCAAAGCCAACAGUUAC
Manacus vitellinus (golden-collared manakin) is the source of this 3097-nucleotide long non-coding RNA. RefSeq lists it as uncharacterized. Lineage: Eukaryota; Metazoa; Chordata; Aves; Passeriformes; Pipridae. The transcript has 3 exons. The record is from RefSeq and is a predicted model, not a curated record.